Molecule: ribosomal RNA, 164 nt
Filed under: uncultured bacterium
Lineage: Bacteria
Description: partial 16S rRNA
Rfam family: Bacterial small subunit ribosomal RNA
Source: RNAcentral
UAGGGAAUCUUCCACAAUGGGCGCAAGCCUGAUGGAGCAACGCCGCGUGUGUGAUGAAGGUUUCGGCUCGUAAAACACUGUUGUAAGAGAAGAAUGACAUUGAGAGUAACUGUUCAAUGUGUGACGGUAUCUUACCAGAAAGGAACGGCUAAAUACGUGACCAA